This 85-nucleotide transfer RNA is filed under the name Oscillospiraceae bacterium. RNAcentral's name for it is "tRNA-Leu". It matches the Rfam family "tRNA". From Rfam's summary of the family: Transfer RNA (tRNA) molecules are approximately 80 nucleotides in length. Their secondary structure includes four short double-helical elements and three loops (D, anti-codon, and T loops). The record is from RNAcentral. Lineage: Bacteria; Bacillati; Bacillota; Clostridia; Eubacteriales; Oscillospiraceae.
GCCGCUGUGGCGGAAUUAGGCAGACGCAGUGGACUUAAAAUCCACCGGUAGCAAUACUGUACCGGUUCAAAUCCGGUCAGCGGCA